UACGUAGGCAGCGAGCGUUGUUCGGAAUUACUGGGCGUAAAGAGUGUGUAGGCGGUGUUCCCAGUCUGUUGUGAAAUCUCCCGGCUUAACUGGGAGGGUGCAGCGGAAACUAGAAUGCUAGAGGGUGGGAGAGGUAAGCGGAAUUCCUGGUGUAGCGGUGAAAUGCGUAGAUAUCAGGAGGAACACCUGUGGUGUAGACAGCUUACUGGACCACUUCUGACGCUGAGAUACGAAAGCGUGGGUAGCAAACAGG
This 253-nucleotide ribosomal RNA is filed under the name uncultured bacterium. Its description in RNAcentral is "partial 16S ribosomal RNA". It matches the Rfam family "Bacterial small subunit ribosomal RNA", at positions 524 to 776 of the family's 1533-position model. The record is from RNAcentral.